GCUUGUCUCAAAGAUUAAGCCAUGCAUGUCUAAGUAUAAACACCUUUAUACUGUGAAACUGCGUACAGCUCAUUAAAUCAGUAAUAAUUUAUUUGAUGGUGACUUACUACAUGGAUAACCGUGGUAAUUCUAGAGCUAAUACAUGCUAUCAAGCCCGACUUCUUGAAGGGUUGUAUUUAUUAGACUUAAGCCAAUAUUCCUUGUGUCUAUUGCGAUGAUUCAUAAUAACUGAUCGAAUCUCAAAUUUGAGAUAAAUCAUUCAAGUUUCUGCCCUAUCAGCUUUCGAUGGUAGUGUAUUGGACUACCAUGGCAGUAACGGGUAACGAAGAAUUAGGGUUCGAUUUCGGAGAGGGAGCAUGAGAAACGGCUACCACAUCUAAGGAAGGCAGCAGG
This 393-nucleotide ribosomal RNA is filed under the name uncultured Scuticociliatia. Its description in RNAcentral is "partial small subunit ribosomal RNA". It matches the Rfam family "Eukaryotic small subunit ribosomal RNA", at positions 30 to 432 of the family's 1831-position model. Lineage: Eukaryota; Ciliophora; Oligohymenophorea. The record is from RNAcentral.